GGCUAACGAGGCGAACCGGGGGAACUGAAACAUCUAAGUACCCCGAGGAAAAGAAAUCAACCGAGAUUCCCCCAGUAGCGGCGAGCGAACGGGGAGGAGCCCAGAGCCUGAAUCAGCUUGUGUGUUAGUGGAAGCGUCUGGAAAGUCGCACGGUACAGGGUGAAAGUCCCGUACACGAAAACGCACAGGCUGUGAGCUCGAUGAGUAGGGCGGGACACGUGGUAUCCUGUCUGAAUAUGGGGGGACCAUCCUCCAAGGCUAAAUACUCCUGACUGACCGAUAGUGAACCAGUACCGUGAGGGAAAGGCGAAAAGAACCCCGGCGAGGGGAGUGAAAAAGAACCUGAAACCGUGUACGUACAAGCAGUGGGAGCCUCUUUUAUGGGGUGACUGCGUACCUUUUGUAUAAUGGGUCAGCGACUUAUAUUCUGUAGCAAGGUUAACCGUAUAGGGGAGCCGAAGGGAAACCGAGUCUUAACUGGGCGUUAAGUUGCAGGGUAUAGACCCGAAACCCGGUGAUCUAGCCAUGGGCAGGUUGAAGGUUGGGUAACACUAACUGGAGGACCGAACCGACUAAUGUUGAAAAAUUAGCGGAUGACCUGUGGCUGGGGGUGAAAGGCCAAUCAAACCGGGAGAUAGCUGGUUCUCCCCGAAAGCU
Molecule: ribosomal RNA, 657 nt
Filed under: Citrobacter koseri
Lineage: Bacteria; Pseudomonadati; Pseudomonadota; Gammaproteobacteria; Enterobacterales; Enterobacteriaceae
Description: partial 23S ribosomal RNA
Rfam family: Bacterial large subunit ribosomal RNA
Source: RNAcentral